GGGUGACGCAGCAGAUUUCUGAUGAGUCAGUGGAGAUCGGAGCGCAUGCUGUAUAGAGAGACAGAGCGGCAGUUAGUUUUUCACAGACAGACUCAUAGUUUGAAUUCUGUUCAAAUGUUUCAGUAUUAUGACAAUGAUCUUGAUAACCAUUUUCUCGGUAAAGAGCUAUUUCUUUUUUCCUAUAGCGGUUUUUAUUUUGCUUUCUUAUAUCAUCCUUAUUACAAACGCAAUAAAAUAUUACAAAAAUUUGCAUUUCCUGCGAAAAUGCUGUGUGGAUGCUGUAAAGCUGAAGCUGUGUGCUGAAACUAGCUGAAAAAGCUGAAAAGUUGCAGAAAUUGUAAAAACUUUGCCGAAAUACUUAGAAGAAAUACAAUAACAUAGCAGAACUUCUCAGAAAUAUUGUAACAUAGCAGAGAUAACUUCUCAGAAAUACAAGAAGUUAGGGGAAAAGUAUAAGAUAACAGAAAUAAUAUAUUUAGCCAAAAAUACUUAAACAUUAUAGAAAUACUAUGAUUUAGAAAAAUACUACACCAUAGCAGAAAUACUGAGAUUUAGCAGAAAUACUGUGAUGUACCACAAACACUGUAAUUUAUAUUAUGUUUUUGCACAAAUACGAUAAUCUAGCAGAAAGUCUAUCAUUUGGCACAAAUACUCUGGUUUUGCUCAAAUAUAAAAACAUAGCAGAAACACCAUUAUAUAGCAGUAAUGCUAUAUUUUAAAACAAACAAACAAAUAAACACAUAAUUUAGUAGAAAUACUAUGAUUUAACAGAAUAGUAAUAACUUAAGUGGAAAUAUUGGAAAAGUAAAAUGACCAGCUGAAAAAUGACCAACAAUCUAAACUAAUUGUUGUUCACUUGUGAAAAGAAAAUAAAGAAAUAAAAAGAAAUUUAAAAAACAAAAACAAGAAAGAAAGAAAGAACAGUCAACAGAUACACAGAAUUGCAAAUAUGGACACAUAUGGAAACACACAUGCACAGAGGGACACACACACACAGGAUCUAUGCCAGUCAACUAGUCUGAAUAUAUUCAAUUUGAAUCCUACAAUGAGAUGCUACCAAAAACGGGUCUCUCUCUCUCUGUCACUCUCACACACACACAGCAGGAAGUGAACAGGGGCUGUUAAUCCAGUUGUAAAGUCUGACGUCACUAGCAGUGUCUGGGCUCAAACUCCGCUGCAGGUCCAUAUAUCAAACGAUCACUAUGGCAAUACUGAGAGUUGAAAAACUGUCUAAAGUCUUUCAUCUUUAAUAAAAUGAUCAGCGUUCUGCUCUACCAGGUGUAACAAUUGAGUUUAACAUCCAGGCAUCCAUGAAAACGGAAUUUAUGACAUUUAACGGAGUUAGAAGUUAGCAGGAAGUUAGCUUGCUAGCUUCUAUCUAAAUACAAUAUAGCAUGUCCUGAUUGCGGGUUUUGGAAACAAAUUAAAACGUACAGCUCUGUUAUCACUUCCAACAUAAAUGAAGACAGAAAACUAAACAGCAGUGAUGUUUGUAGGGUUACUGAAGUUUGGCUAGCUGGUAUAUAAUGAUGUGCUACGUGACCGCUAGCGACACAGCUAUGUUAGCAUAAUAUAAACAAGCUAACUUUUUUUCCACUCGAUAAAAGUUAACCUGGGUGUUCUCGGUGGUCAGGAACAAAUGUAAUCGCAUGGCAGGAUGCUGUAAAAGGACCAAACUUCAGCCAGGAGAACAACUCAGAUAAUCCAUCCACAAUACAAGGUUAGUAAUUCAUAUACUGCUGCAUGGGCUGGGCUGUAG
Molecule: long non-coding RNA, 1759 nt
Organism: Astatotilapia calliptera (eastern happy)
Lineage: Eukaryota; Metazoa; Chordata; Actinopteri; Cichliformes; Cichlidae
Source: Ensembl